Molecule: ribosomal RNA, 849 nt
Filed under: uncultured Planctomycetota bacterium
Lineage: Bacteria; Pseudomonadati; Planctomycetota
Description: bacterial SSU rRNA
Rfam family: Bacterial small subunit ribosomal RNA
Source: RNAcentral
AGAGUUUGAUCCUGGCUCAGAAUGAACGUUGGCGGCGUGGAUUAGGCAUGCAAGUCGAGCGAGAAGUUUUAAAAAGAUACUUCGGUUGAUUUUUAGAAUGGGCAGCGGCGAAAGGGAGAGUAACGAGCAGAUACGUACCCAGGGGUUCGGGAUAGCCAUGCGAAAGCGUGAGUAAUACCGAAUAAUGUCUCCGGACCAAAGAUUUAUUGCCCUUGGAGCGGUUUGCUUACUAUUAGCUUGUUGGUGGGGUAAAGGCCUACCAAGGCUUAGAUGGUUAGCGGGUGUGAGAGCAUGACCCGUCUCACUGGGACUGAGACACUGCCCAGACACCUACGGGUGGCUGCAGUCGAGAAUCUUCCGCAAUGGACGAAAGUCUGACGGAGCGACGCCGCGUGCUGGAUGAAGGCCCUCGGGUUGUAAACAGCUGUCGUAGGGGAGGAAAUUUUGACCGAUCCUAGGAGGAAGCACAGGCUAAGUUCGUGCCAGCAGCCGCGGUAAUACGAACUGUGCAAACGUUAUUCGGAAUCACUGGGCUUAAAGGGUGCGUAGGCGGACUUGUAGGUCAGGUGUGAAAUCCCACGGCUCAACCGUGGAAUUGCGCUUGAAACCACUCGUCUUGAGGGGAUCAGAGGAGAGCGGAACUGAUGGUGGAGCGGUGAAAUGCGUUGAUAUUAUCAGGAACACCGGUGGCGAAAGCGGCUCUCUGGGAUCUUUCUGACGCUGAGGCACGAAAGCUAGGGGAGCGAACGGGAUUAGAUACCCCGGUAGUCCUAGCUGUAAACGAUCUGUACUAGUCCGUGGGGACCCCCACAUCUUCUCGGACGUAGCGAAAGUGUUAAGUACAGCGCC